AUUGAACGCUGGCGGCAUGCUUUACACAUGCAAGUCGAACGGUAACAGGCCUUCGGGUGCUGACGAGUGGCGAACGGGUGAGUAAUGCAUCGGAACGUACCCAGAGGUGGGGGAUAACGCAGCGAAAGCUGUGCUAAUACCGCAUGUGAUCUGAGGAUGAAAGCGGGGGACCGAGCAGCAAUGUUUGGCCUCGCGCCUUUGGAGCGGCCGAUGUCGGAUUAGCUAGUUGGUGGGGUAAAGGCCUACCAAGGCGACGAUCCGUAGCUGGUCUGAGAGGACGACCAGCCACACUGGGACUGAGACACGUCCCAGACUCCUACGGGAGGCAGCAGUGGGGAAUUUUGGACAAUGGGCGCAAGCCUGAUCCAGCAAUGCCGCGUGAGGGAAGAAGGCCUUCGGGUUGUAAACCGCUUUUGGCAGGAACGAAACGGUGUCCGCUAAUACCGGGCGCUAAUGACGGUACCUGCAGAAUAAGCACCGGCUAACUACGUG
RNAcentral lists this ribosomal RNA (492 nucleotides) under uncultured bacterium. RNAcentral's name for it is "partial 16S ribosomal RNA". It matches the Rfam family "Bacterial small subunit ribosomal RNA", at positions 30 to 507 of the family's 1533-position model. The record is from RNAcentral.